UCAGACGAUGCGUCAUGCAUAUCAAUAAGCGGAGGAAAAGAAACUAACAAGGAUUCCCUCAGUAACGGCGAGUGAAGCGGGAAGAGCUCAAAUUUGAAAUCUUGAAAGGUUACCUUUCACGAAUUGUAGUUUAAAGAAGUGUUUUCUGUUACGAUCGUAAUAUAAGUUCUUUGGAAUAGGACAUCACAGAGGGUGAGAAUCCCGUCUAUGAUUGCGAUUUGUAGCUUUGUGAUACACUUUCAAAGAGUCGGGUUGUUUGGGAAUGCAGCCCAAAACGGGAGGUAAAUUUCUUCUAAGGCUAAAUAUUGGCGAGAGACCGAUAGCGAACAAGUACCGUGAGGGAAAGAUGAAAGGAACUUUGAAAAGAGAGUUAAAUAGUACGUGAAAUUGUCAAAAGGGAAGCGUUUAACACCAGUGUUGUUUUCUGAAAAUCAACCUCUGUUAGCUUUAUGCAUGGUUGUUUAGACCUAAUCAGCUAUCUUGCAUGUUCUAUUGUUUGCAGUGGUGCACUUUUCAGUUUACAGGUCAACAUCAGUUUUUUUUACCGUAAAAAAGUUAAAGAAAGGUAGCUCAUGGCUCCGGUCGUGAGUGUUAUAGUCUUUUUCCUAUGCGGUAGGAGAGACUGAGGUCUGCAGUGUAGGCUAUUUGGCUAGAUACUCAGGUGCUAUGUGAUACCAUUUCAUAAACAACUUGUUGAUUAUGUUUUGUCUAUUGCAUACUCGCUUGUACUAUCAUACCUACGCUUAGGAUGUUGAAGACUCUACAGAGAUA
RNAcentral lists this ribosomal RNA (771 nucleotides) under uncultured Neocallimastigales. Its description in RNAcentral is "partial large subunit ribosomal RNA". The stretch from base 4 to 661 matches the Rfam family "Eukaryotic large subunit ribosomal RNA", at positions 24 to 664 of the family's 3401-position model. Lineage: Eukaryota; Fungi; Neocallimastigomycota; Neocallimastigomycetes; Neocallimastigales. The record is from RNAcentral.